GUAGGGAAUAUUGGACAAUGGGGGGAACCCUGAUCCAGCCAUGCCGCGUGGAGGAAGACUGCCCUCUGGGUUGUAAACUCCUUCUAUAUGGGAAGAACCGUCCUCAUUAAUGAGUGACCUGACGGUACCAUAGGAAUAAGCACCGGCUAACUCCGUGCCAGCAGCCGCGGUAAUACGGAGGGUGCAAGCGUUAUCCGGAUUCACUGGGUUUAAAGGGUGCGUAGGCGGAUAAAUAAGUCAGUGGUGAAAUCAACGGGCUCAACCUGUUAACUGCCAUUGAUACUGUGUAUCCUGAAUAUGAGAGAGGUAGGCGGAAUGUUGCAUGUAGCGGUGAAAUGCUUAGAUAUGCUACGGAACACCGAUUGCGAAGGCAGCUUACUAUUUCGUAAUUGACGCUGAGGCACGAAAGCGUGGGUAGCGAACAGGAUUAGAUACCCCAGUAGUCC
RNAcentral lists this ribosomal RNA (446 nucleotides) under uncultured bacterium. Its description in RNAcentral is "partial 16S ribosomal RNA". It matches the Rfam family "Bacterial small subunit ribosomal RNA", at positions 354 to 796 of the family's 1533-position model. The record is from RNAcentral.